UACGUAGGGCGCAAGCGUUGUCCGGAAUUAUUGGGCGUAAAGAGCUCGUAGGCGGCUUGUCACGUCGGAUGUGAAAACCCGCGGCUCAACCGCGGGCCUGCAGUCGAUACGGGCAGGCUAGAGUUCGGUAGGGGAGACUGGAAUUCCUGGUGUAGCGGUGAAAUGCGCAGAUAUCAGGAGGAACACCGAUGGCGAAGGCAGGUCUCUGGGCCGAUACUGACGCUGAGGAGCGAAAGCGUGGGGAGCGAACAGG
Molecule: ribosomal RNA, 253 nt
Filed under: uncultured bacterium
Lineage: Bacteria
Description: partial 16S ribosomal RNA
Rfam family: Bacterial small subunit ribosomal RNA
Source: RNAcentral